RNAcentral lists this ribosomal RNA (253 nucleotides) under uncultured bacterium. RNAcentral's name for it is "partial 16S ribosomal RNA". It matches the Rfam family "Bacterial small subunit ribosomal RNA", at positions 524 to 776 of the family's 1533-position model. The record is from RNAcentral.
UACAGAGGUCCCAAGCGUUGUUCGGAUUUACUGGGCGUAAAGGGUGCGUAGGUGGCGAGGUAAGUUCGAUGUGAAAUCUCCGAGCUCAACUCGGAAAUGGCAUUGAAUACUAUCCCGCUUGAGGGUCGGAGGGGAGACUGGAAUUCUCGGUGUAGCAGUGAAAUGCGUAGAUAUCGAGAGGAACACCUGCGGCGAAGGCGGGUUGCUGGGCUGACACUGACGCUGAGGCGCGAAAGCUAGGGGAGCGAACGGG